GCCUCCGUGACCCUGUCUACGGCUGCG
This 27-nucleotide small RNA is filed under the name Arabidopsis thaliana (thale cress). RNAcentral describes it as "ATSL065430". Lineage: Eukaryota; Viridiplantae; Streptophyta; Magnoliopsida; Brassicales; Brassicaceae. The record is from RNAcentral.